UACGUAGGUGGCAAGCGUUGUCCGGAUUUACUGGGCGUAAAGAGCGCGCAGGCGGUCGUUCAAGUCGCGUGUGAAAGCCCCCGGCUCAACUGGGGAGGGUCACGCGAUACCGAUCGACUCGAAGGCAGGAGAGGGUAGUGGAAUUCCCGGUGUAGUGGUGAAAUUCGUAGAUAUUCGGAAGAACACCAGUGGCGAAGGCGACUUACUGGACACAUAUUGACGCUGAGGUGCGAAAGCGUGGGGAGCAAACAGG
Molecule: ribosomal RNA, 253 nt
Filed under: uncultured bacterium
Lineage: Bacteria
Description: partial 16S ribosomal RNA
Rfam family: Bacterial small subunit ribosomal RNA
Source: RNAcentral